AAUUUUCUUCAGUUUCCUUCUCUUCUGAUGUACCGUACUUCGUAGUCUGCUAUUCUUUUCUCUCUCUCUUUCACCCCUUCUCCUUUGCAAAUCCUUCUUCAAUUGAUUGUUAUGUUCAUCUAAUUAUAUGAAAUCGAGUUUUGAUCCCUUCUUCUCUUCCUUAGGUUGAAUUUAGGGUUUUCUUUUUUCCCAAAAAAAAAAAAUUAAAGGAGAAGGAACUGAAAACAAACGUGGGGGGAUUUCUUAAUUUUUCUUGGUUAAUUUUUUUUUGUUGUUUUUUGUUUUUUUUUUUUUUUUUUGGUAAAAUUACAAAGUCAUCUGAUCGAAGGGCCAUAAUUAAUCAGAUACAAAUGAACGGCUGAGAUUUCAUCAAUUGCAGUGGCUACCAUUUUGUUGUCGCCAUUCAAAAGUCUUCCAUCUUGCCUUGAAUAAUUAAAGUUUGGAUUUUAUGUUAUGGGUUUGUUUGGUUUUGAUUGAAUUUUAAAUCUGGGUUUUGGAAGAAUUUCUCAUAUUAAUAAAAAUUAGAGUAACCAUUAAAACCUAAGGUCUGUGUUCGUCAUUCCCUUCCAAUUCACAAAAAACAAUUCGAAUAACACCAUACAUACAAAACCAAUAUUUUCAUGAACAACAAAAACAAAUUAUCAAAAAAGCGCAGUUGAUAAUCAAUAUCAUCAAAACCCUAAACCCUAACUAAACCCGCCAAAAAAAAAAAAAAAUUACAAUUUUCUCAAGAAAACAACUCGAAUACAUAAGAAACGAAAGCACCUUGCAAAAUUACUGAGAAUCGGGUUGAAAUUAUGAAGAAUUGCCUUCGCUUCCUUAGCCAAACUGGAGGAACGCUUCUAGAAUAGGGAAUCAAGUUCAAUAAGAGAAAAUAGCACCCUUUCCCAUGCCAUGUUAGCUAAGUAAUAAUGUGUUUAUGUCAGUUAACCAAGGUCUAACUCACCUUGAGUUAAUUGAUGUUAAUUAUCACCGGAAAGUAAAUGUUAGGUCCUUAAUUGUGAAAAAAAAAGUGAAAGGUCCUUAACGGUGAAAAUGUUAAAAGUGAGGUUCUUCUUUUAUGCUUAACUUAUAUUGUUUCAUUUAUUUUGAUAUUAUUUGCAGAUUUAAAAUUUGUGUUUAUGAUAUGUUCUGUCCAUUUUAACCAUUUAUAUUAGACAUAAGUGAUAUAAGUGAUUGAAACUACCCAUUGAGAAACGUUGUAAACUUGUAACCCAUAUAAAUCACAUUAUUAACAAUUUAGCACGGUCACACGUUUUAAUAUUUUUAAAAAUAAAAACUCAAGCAUGAUUUUACUGGAAAACAAAGCACUAAGUAAGGGGAAAAAAAAGAAAAAAAAAUACACGGAUUAACAAAAAAGAAAAAAAAAAAAAAACCAAACAAAUACGUAGUACAUAAUCCAGAAAAAAGAUUCUUUCAAAAAAAAAAAAAAAAAAAACAAUUUCUCCAGAAAAAAGAAGAAAUUGAUAUGCAAGGAGGCAAGGACUGCGACUAUAAUUUUGAUCCUGAUGCAAACAUCGUCCCUCUCUUAGUUGAUGAGCUUCGGAAACAGUUCGAGGCUACACAAAAAUCUGGUAUUUUUUUAUCGAAUCCUUUCGAUAUGAAAUAGGUUUUUUUCAAAUGUUAGUAUCUUAAGUAGAAAUUUUCUGGGUCGUUGUAAAAUGUCAGAUUUCACUCUAAAUGAACUUUAUUUUGCUCAAAGAUUACUGGGUUUUGCAUAUGAUUUUACUUUGUUGGAACAUAUAAAGGUUGGUUUUUGAGGUGAAAAGUAUGAUUUUGAUUGUUUGAUCUGUGUAUCAUUGGGUGAAUUGUUUGAUUUCCAUAAAUUGAUUUGCUGAAAUGUCUGAAAUUUAGCCUAACUACAUAAUGCACUUGAUUGAAAUGCUUAUUGCAGGCUGUUUUUUAAAGUGUAAAAUUGAUUGUGAAUUGUUUUGUUAUUAGUUAUUGAAGAGAGUAAAUAUACGGAAUUGAGGUUGAUAUUGUACAGAAUGCUGAAUUAGGGAAGGUAAUUGCUUCUUAUUUAAUGCUUUGACUGUCCGUGAAACAAAACUCAAAGUGAGUACCCCUGAUUGCUUGGUAUCGUAAAAUCAAGCUAAUAGCUAUUGACCUAUUGCAGAUACAAGUAUAUGAUGGUGAGGAUCUUGUUGGAUCAUCCUUGUCAUUUUCUGUUGAAAUUAUUCAUGAUAAGAUCGUUUGAUUUUAUGUCGUCUCAACUGCUAUAUACUAUACUUUGCUCUGUUAAAAUUGUGAUGCAUCUAUAUUUUUUCCUAUCUCAUGUCAUAAUAUCCUUACAGUAAAGACCAUUUAAUUACGAAAUUGGUUUCUAUGUUACAAACUUAGAAGUGUAGUGUUUCAUACUUUACUUUCUUACAAUUAAUGUUAUUUGUUCAUGCAGUUAAUGUUUGGGGAUAAUUUUGACAGCAUUAUGCUUUUAUUGAGUUUGUUGGAUAUUCUGCAUUAUUUGGUUAUUGGGAAGCGUAUGUUUACAUUUUUGGUGGGUUAUGUGAUCAUUUUCUGAUAAAUCUUAAGGGUGGGGAUUUGUUAAUUUAAUUGAGUAGGCCAUACUGCCAUACACCUAUUGUUGUUAACUCUCAAAUGUACCUUGAAGAUGUAAUUAAAGCUUACAAUUGCACACUUUUGCUGGAAGUGUUAUUGUGUUAGCCUUUAUAGAUUGAGCUCUUUUGUCUAUCAUAGUGCACUUCUGUAGACGUCAUUAACCUGAACUAGACUCUAGAUAGUCUGGAACUUUCUGCUAUUGUCCAAGCCUCCUGAUAAAUCAGAGCACUGGUUUCUGUCGCAAUAUAUGAAUUCCUAUUUGAUGUAGUGCCUUAGGAGAUAUGAGCAGAGAGACUUAGUGCUUUUAAGAGUCCAUUUUGUUUCUCUUUUCUGCUUAUCUAAUCUUUACUUGAUUUUAUUAAUACUUAGUCCUUUAAUUUAACUUCAAAAAAUAUUUAGUAGAUUCCAAAAUCAAUUGUGCUUUUAUUUAAUCACGAGCCAUCCUAUUCUAAUCUGCAUAUUGGAAGGAAUGCAAGAGUAAAGGUCGAUUAGGUGCAGCAUAUUUUAUAAUCUUAUUUUACUGUGCUUACUUCAAACAGUGAAUGUGGAUCAUUUGAUGCAGCCAUUACCAUAGGAAACACUAACAUCCAUAUUUAGUUUAUUUUAAUGUAGUUCAAGAACCGUUGCAGACCAAUCCAGAUCUAAAGGAGGGUUUUUGCUGAGCUUUUGUUGGAACAUAUAAAGGUUGGUUUUUGAGCACAUCGCAAGAAUGGAGCAGCAGUGAAAUCAAGGGCGGCGGCUCAACUAUCACAAGAAUGGGGAGAUAUACAGAAACCUCAGAACAACAACAAUAACAACUACCAUGGAUUUCCAGGUGGUUGUACUAGCUGGUGGCACUUCCAAAAACCUUGCCCCUCUUGUUUCCAAGGAGGUACCCAAAGCAUUGCUCCCAGUUGGGAAUCGCCCAGUAGUUUCUUAUGUAUUGGACCUUUUGGAACAAAGCAAUCUCAAGGAUAUUAUUGUGGUGGUUGGAGGCGCAGAUGCUGCUGUUAAAGUUGAUGGAUGGAUUUCGAGUGCGUAUGUUGAUCGUCUUCGUGUCGAGGUUCUGAUGAUGGUAAAUUGGGCGUGAAAAAUAGCUUCCUCAGCUUCAAUGAUGGUGGAGAGAGACUGUACUAACUACCAAGUGUUUUCACAAUCGUCAAAUCUAAGCUUCCUCAGUGCGACCUUCAAAAUUUUGAUUAUAAAAUUCUAAAACCCAAACUUUUCAAUUAUGAGAUUUUCAAUUUUUGAAUGAAUUCACCAAUGACGAUAAGUUCAGAAUCAAUACAAACAAUGAAAAUCAAUUGCAUCGAUGAAAACCGAAAAUUAGAUCAAAUUGAUUAAGGUUUCCUCAAUUUACCCCCUUUUCGAUUAAUGAUAUUAUGGAAACAAUUUAUUUAUUUGCAAUUGGCAGGAGUUUGUUGUAUAUAGGUAUUACAUUUUGACUUACACAUUAAUGAUUUUGUGAAUUCUAUGUUUUAUUCUUUCUUCUUAUGAAGUUAAAUUGGUUAGAUUUGGUUAAAUGUAAUUGCAAUUGGGAAAUGUUACAAUAAGAUAGUGAAAAGGUGUGAUUUUUUGUGGAUGUUUUGAGUUAAAGUAUGUUUGAAUCUUGUUUAAUGUAUAGUUCUCUCUAUAUAAAUGGUUUCUGUAUUAAUGUUCCAGGGUUAUUGAAAUCUGAAUCUGAGAUAGUAUGCUUUGCAAAAUGAAGUUGGAUUGAUGUUUUUCAAUAGUUGCAGAUGAGGUGAUAUAUUGGGUAUGGAUUCGGCCAAGAGUUGGUUUCAUAAGUUGCAGCCACGUGAUAAGUUGAGAUCUGCAUCCAAAAAAAAAAAGGAUUCCGGGAUUUUGGGUGGUAAGGAAGUGUCUGCCCCAACAUCAGAUGAUGAAACGCCGUCAAAUGUUACACAACAGAGGGUUGCGGCAGCAAAGCAAUAUAUUAGAAACACUAUAAGGAGCAAAUGAAGAAUUUGCAAGAAAGGAAGGAUUUGGAGUUUUGAUCUAUAUUCUUCAUCUCUUUUAUACUGUACUGUAUUGAGCAAAUUAACGAAAUAAACGAUUUAAAGAAUAUUUUUGAGUAAAAAGCUUUCAUUUUGCUGGGCCAAAAAUCCCAA
This is an RNA transcript of Chenopodium quinoa (quinoa), 4643 nucleotides long. It is a transcript of the gene named probable translation initiation factor eIF-2B subunit gamma, with no coding region annotated. Lineage: Eukaryota; Viridiplantae; Streptophyta; Magnoliopsida; Caryophyllales; Amaranthaceae. The transcript is spliced from 8 exons. The record is from RefSeq and is a predicted model, not a curated record.